GAAGGAAAUGGAGAAAUAUGCAAACCGGG
RNAcentral lists this non-coding RNA (29 nucleotides) under Cricetulus griseus (Chinese hamster). The record is from RNAcentral. Lineage: Eukaryota; Metazoa; Chordata; Mammalia; Rodentia; Cricetidae.